AGUGAAACACCGGUUCACGUAUAAUCACCGAAGUUAAACAUUGUCGAGCCCGGUCAGUACUUAGAAGAUUGACGCUUUGGGAAUACCAAGUGCUGUAA
Non-coding RNA from Acanthosepion pharaonis, 98 nucleotides. NCBI's taxonomy places the organism in Eukaryota, Metazoa, Mollusca, Cephalopoda, Sepiida, Sepiidae. The record is from the annotation of a GenBank genome assembly.